This 105-nucleotide microRNA precursor is filed under the name Canis lupus familiaris (dog). RNAcentral's name for it is "mir-8834 microRNA precursor family". It matches the Rfam family "mir-8834 microRNA precursor family". The record is from Rfam by way of RNAcentral. RNAcentral also lists the same sequence under 1 other name. Lineage: Eukaryota; Metazoa; Chordata; Mammalia; Carnivora; Canidae.
AGGAGGAACAACCCCAGUGGCGGGGCCAGCUCUGCAGCCCUGGAGUUAGCUCCUGCAGUAACUCCGGAGCUCUGGGUCUGCAGGGCCUGGAGGCUCCGGGGCGGG